UGUCUCAGUUCGGAUCGGAGUCUGCAACCCGACUCCGUGAAGCUGGAUUCGCUAGUAAUCGCGCAUCAGCCAUGGCGCGGUGAAUACGUUCCCGGGCCUUGUACACACCGCCCGUCAAGCCAUGGAAGCCGGGAGUGCCUGAAGUAUGCAACCGCAAGGAGCGCCCUAAGGUAAAACCGGUGACUGGGGCUAAGUCGUAACAAGGUAAC
RNAcentral lists this ribosomal RNA (209 nucleotides) under uncultured bacterium. RNAcentral's name for it is "partial 16S ribosomal RNA". It matches the Rfam family "Bacterial small subunit ribosomal RNA", at positions 1284 to 1500 of the family's 1533-position model. The record is from RNAcentral.